AGUAGGCGUAUAGCGUAGUAAAAAAAAAACAGGAAAGUUCACAUGUUGAUUUAACAUUUUGUCUAUCUUUUUAACUUUUUGGUAAUUUACUUCUUUAUUUCAGUAAGUUGUAACAAAUCUUGUCAUAGAGUGUUGACCAGGAAAAAUGGUAAAUAAGAAACACGUAGAAGGUUACUAUUCGCUAAUGAAAGAACUAGACCAACUGGGAGAUGAUCAGUCAAUCUUUAUCCUGUUUACUGGAUCUAAGAGUAGCGAUGGUAAAAGUUGGUGCCCCGACUGUGUGUUAGCGGAACCUGUUAUUGAAGAAGCAUUGAAAUUUGCUGAUGAAGAGGUGGUUUUUAUUGUCUGUGAAGUGGGAAGUAGAGCCUACUGGAAAAACAUUCAAAAUGAUUUCCGUAUGGAUGAUAGGCUAAAGAUAAAGUGUGUGCCAACUUUGAUGAAGUGGAGAACACAAAAACGGUUAGAAGAAGCUCAGUGCCAGGAUUCUAACAUGUUGAAAAUGUUACUUGAAGACUGAUUUAAUGCAUUGUAAGAUAAGAAUACAAAAGAAUAAUAUUCAUAAAGUUUCCUAAUCCUAUUUAAUUUUGGUAAAAAGAGUGACAGUGAUUCAUGAAAAAAAAGGACUAUUUAUGCAUGUAGAAAAUUAUCUCUCCAAAUUUUAAUGGCAUGAAAUGCAGUUUGUCAAAAAAAAAGAUAGUGGCCUAGAGUGAUAUUGUAUAAAUAUAAAUAACCUACUUUUCUCCAUGUGUAUAUCGAAAAGUUCAAGGUACAGCACAAAUCAUUAAGGAAAUUUAUCUCAACUCAGAUUUAGAUAAUGUAAUUCUAGCAGGAUUAUGUGUAAGUGCAGAUUAUUUAAGCAUUCAAACAAGUUCAUUGUUGUAAAUUUAUGCAAUUAGACAUGUUUUUUAAGAGGCAGGCCUGCCAACUCUUACGAUUUAGGUGUAAUUGUUCUGAUUUUGUUUAUUUUACGCCUGUAUGAAUUGUUGUGUUAUUCUACAAUUUUAUGCGAAAUUCUGAAACUUUCUCACUGACCUUUUUUUUCUAAUAAUAAUUUUCCAGAAAUAAUUCACUACUCUCUGCUUUGCUUAUCAAUCUUACAAAUGCUUGAAAUAGUCUGUUAAAAAGGCAUGUAAGUAGUAAGCAUCUGGGUCACGCUGAUAAUUUUUUGAAAGGAAAAUGGUGGAAAAUUGUAGUUCUGCUUUGUCCCCAAUGAUUCCAAUGAAGAAAAGUUUAUAGUGAGCAGAAGUGUAGGCAUGGGUAUUCAAAAAAGUUUAAUGAUAUUGUAUCAUGCUCAAAGGGUAUGAAUUAUGCAAGAUUUACAGUUUGCAUUUGUGAUUUCUUCAUUUUUCAUGAAGAUGAAAAUUACAUCAAAAAUCAUCUUAACACUACUAAACACCAGCAAAAUAAAUCAAGGGCUUCUGGAAUUAAUAAACUAGACUCAUUUUUCAUAAAACAGAAUACCAAAUCAGAAAAUGAUGUGAUCAGAGUGGAAUGUUUAUUCACAGUUCCCGACCAUGCUUCAAAAAUGUUUACCAAAAUGUUUCUGGAUUUGGAAAUUGCUUAAAGAAACAGAUGCUCUAGAACCAAAACCUCUGCAAUAGUUGGAGAAAUAGCUAGCAUUGCAACUCAGUGAAUUGUGAAUAACAUUAAAACUUGUAAACUGUGACAUACUUUGAUGACCACAAGGAAAAGGUAUUACUUUCUAAUCCCAAUUUAAUUGGAAAACAAACUGGUGAGAGUAUUGCAGGAUUCCCACCAGAAGAAAUAGCUUCAAAGUCUUUAAAGUGGGAAAAUUGUGUAUCAUUAGCUGUUGACAACUCAGAUAUGAUGAUAGGGAGAAAAAAACUGAUGGAAAAGAAAAAAAAAGAUGAAGAAAAAACAAAAAAUCCAUGUGAAGGCAGAGUCUGUUCAAUGUAGAUCAGAGGUAUCAGUGAAGAAAGAGAGUGGUUGUUUAGAAAAAUGCAAAGAAAAAGCUUCUAAGCAGAGGUAGUCUGUCAAGGUGUAGGCAGGGAUCUGGAUCUUCUAUGGAUUGUUCCUCUAAGAAAGUAGCAGACAAAAUUGCAAAAGCAAGUGAGAAGGUACAAACACACCUGACAUCAAAUCUCCAGGAAACACUUAUUUGUGAGAGGAAAUAAUUUACAAGUUACUUACAAUAAGGAUGCAUUAUUUCUGAACAAUUACCUUCAAUUAUAUAUAGUCCGAAAACUCACUCAUCCAUUGCUUGCAGAGAAUCUUGUUGUGACACCACAUGCAAUUUCGAAUUUUUCAAAUAUUUUGGAUUUGAAUUUAAAAGAUAGAAAACUUCAGUUAAAAAAUGAGAACUUGGUAAUUGGUUAUGAAGUUUAGCCUUUCCUUUCAAAGCUUGACAAAGGAAGCCAGUUCUCUUUCACAGUGUAGGGCACAAAUGGCAGCAUGCAUACAGAUUUGGUGAUUGUUUCAAGUACAGGGGGCUAUUCCCGCAUGUCGCAGUAGAGAGAAACUUUCUUUGAUAGCCAUGGGAUAAAUCCAAAUUUUGCAGUCAGUGGGUAUAAAUGUUUAUUCAGAUAUAUCCAAACUUUGCAGCAAAAGGGUUAAAUAUGAUAAACUUUCUAAAGUAAUAAAGUCUAUCCUUAUAAUACCACACAGCAGUACAGUUUGUAAAUGGGUUAUCGUGUUUGUUUGCAAAAACUGGAGAGACUUUUGAGGAUCAGUGUCAAAACUCCACCUUAGAAUCAGUGCUGAUAAGGAAGAUGAAGAUGGCACAAAAACUAUGUUUAUCCCAAAAAUUUACUUUUGAUUUCCUAUAGAAAGCCAAGAGUGCUAUAUACAAGGCUCUUAAUUAGUAGUACACAGUAAUUAGUAAGUAUUAAAUAAAACCUAGUUAGUAAUAACACUAUUUUCAUUUACACAUUUUGUUACUUUUCCUUUGUCCCAGUAGGGAUUACUAUUUUUAAAAAUUUAAUGUUGGCACGUCUGAAAAAGUAUAGUGAUGUGCCUGACAAAUCAAAAUACAUUCCUCCUGAUUAAGAAAUGUAUUUUGUGAGUUGGAAGAUCACUUGUAGAUAGAUAAGUGAAACAAGUGACAAAACUGAAACUUCAUUAAUUCAAAUAGAAUAAAGGAAGAUCCUAAUACAGAUAUAAAUAGUAGUUUGUGUUGGAAUUAAAGGAAAAUCUUACCACCAGGAAAAUGUGUAAUUAUAUUGUAAACAUAGAAAACACAUAAACAGAUCUCAUCAGUAAAAAUAGAAUUGCUAUCUCCUACACUCAAAUUUUUACAACUGAAUUGAAUGAAAUUGUUUACUAUUUUCAACAUAUUAUCAGGAUUUUUGUGGGUGUUGGAAAGCCUGGGAAGUUCUGGAAAUUUGUGAAUUCAUUUUCUAAGCUUUGAAAUCCCAUGAAAUAUGAUAAUGCCUUCAUCAAAAUGGUUUUUAUCAGCAUAUACCACAUUUCUGUUUCAUUAAGAAUUUGAAAUCUUGUCUCUUUUGAGUCAUCAACUAUUAAAACUUGCCAGAACAGGAAUGUAUCUACUAUAAAAGUGUCCUUUGUUUUAAAUUGAAAUAUUGUAUUGUUAAAAAAUAAGUAACUUAUCAAAGGUACAAAGAUUAAUCAUUAAAAUAGCUGAAAUAUAUGUGAUACAUGAUUGUACCCAAUGGACAUCAUCCCAAAAAAUAGCAUCACCUAUCCAUGCAUAUAUAUGAAUAGCUAAUAAGUUAUUUAAAAAUGUAAUGUUUACAAACCAAUGUGUUGAGAGUGUUGUUACAUUUUAUGCAGAGAAUGUUGAUGCUUACAGUAUUGCAUACUAAUUGCAAAAGCUGUCAAGAAAUAGCUCUAUCAGCUAUGUUGUAUAUGCAAGUUUCAUACUUUAGUAAGAGAGAUAAUUCAAAUUUCAAGCAAAUAGAAAGUGUACUUCCUAUCAUAUGUAAUUCAACGUAGAUAAUGAGCUUGGAUUAAAUAACUUAAUGGUUAAA
Molecule: unclassified non-coding RNA, 3947 nt
Filed under: Limulus polyphemus (Atlantic horseshoe crab)
Lineage: Eukaryota; Metazoa; Arthropoda; Merostomata; Xiphosura; Limulidae
Description: thioredoxin domain-containing protein 17-like, transcript variant X1
Source: RNAcentral